UUCGCACCAAUUCAAUCUUCGUUCGCUCGUCAAUUCACAAGGUCUCCUUCAGAUUAUGACUUCAGAACACCCCCUUCAGAAGGGGUGGCUCGUCAAUUCAAUCUUCGAAGAAAAUAUUUAAUUGAAAAUAUAGUUAUCAUUAGCAUAUUUGGUUUAUUAGAUGGCAUCCAGUUCGAAAUCUUCGUUCGGCUCUUCAUUCGUUCGCAUGAAUGAUUAUGAUACAAAGAUUGAUCGAUCAUUCGCAUGAAUAAUUAUGAUACAAAGAUUGAUCCAUCAAUUUCGUUCAUGAAAUGUUCAUGAUAUCAAUUCACAACGUCCGUCAAUUCACAAGGUCCUUCAGAUUAUCACUUCAUUCGCUCGUCAAUUCACAAGGUCCUUCAGAUUAUCACUUCAUUCGCUCGUCAAUUCACAAGGUCCGUCAAUUCACAAGAUCCCUUCAGAUUAUGACUUUUCACACUUUAUGACUUCCGAAUACCCAAAAUACCCUUUCUUUCCCCAAAUACCCUUUCUUUCCCCUUCAGAUUAUGACUUCACGGAAGUCAGAAUACCCAAAAUACCCUUUCUUCCCCUUCAGAUCAGAUUAUGACUUCAGUUCUGAAGUUCAUGAUAUCAAUUCACAAGGUCCGUCAAUUCAGAUACUUCAUUCGUCCAAAAUACCCAGUUCUUCCCCUUCGUUCUUCCCCUUCAGAUGUUCUUUCCUGGGCGGCUCGUCAAUUCACACCACUUUAUGACUUCAGAAUACCCAAAAUACCCUUUCUCCCCUUUCAGAAGGGGCGCACAAGACUUUUCAUCCUUUGGACCCGAGCAUCAUUGCCGCGCAAAUCCUAAAUUAGAUAAAAUUAUUCCAACAACUAAUCGAUGUGGGACUAAAACGGAUUCUCCAUCUCUAUUUAAAAUACACCCACACCUCCAACCAAAAAUAUGGUUCUCUCUGUCGAGAAUGCAUGUGGCCACA
RNAcentral lists this long non-coding RNA (955 nucleotides) under Elaeis guineensis (African oil palm). Its description in RNAcentral is "long non-coding RNA (EGUI_LNC077587)". The record is from RNAcentral. Lineage: Eukaryota; Viridiplantae; Streptophyta; Magnoliopsida; Arecales; Arecaceae.